AUUGAAUGCUGGCGGCAGGCCUAACACAUGCCAGUCGAGCGGAUGAAGGGAGCUUGCUCCUGGAUUCAGCGGCGGACGGGUGAGUAAUGCCUAGGAAUCUGCCUGGUAGUGGGGGAUAACGUCCGGAAACGGGCGCUAAUACCGCAUACGUCCUGAGGGAGAAAGUGGGGGAUCUUCGGACCUCACGCUAUCAGAUGAGCCUAGGUCGGAUUAGCUAGUUGGUGGGGUAAAGGCCUACCAAGGCGACGAUCCGUAACUGGUCUGAGAGGAUGAUCAGUCACACUGGAACUGAGACACGGUCCAGACUCCUACGGGAGGCAGCAGUGGGGAAUAUUGGACAAUGGGCGAAAGCCUGAUCCAGCCAUGCCGCGUGUGUGAAGAAGGUCUUCGGAUUGUAAAGCACUUUAAGUUGGGAGGAAGGGCAGUAAGUUAAUACCUUGCUGUUUUGACGUUACCAACAGAAUAAGCACCGGCUAACUUCGUG
This 484-nucleotide ribosomal RNA is filed under the name uncultured bacterium. RNAcentral describes it as "partial 16S ribosomal RNA". It matches the Rfam family "Bacterial small subunit ribosomal RNA", at positions 30 to 507 of the family's 1533-position model. The record is from RNAcentral.